CGGAUUAGAGUUUGAUCCUGGCUCAGRACGAACGCUGGCGGCGUGCUUAAMACAUGCAAGUCGAACGGAAAGGCCCAGCUUGCUGGGUACUCGAGUGGCGAACGGGUGAGUAACACGUGGGUGAUCUGCCCUGCACUCUGGGAUAAGCCUGGGAAACUGGGUCUAAUACCGGAUAUGACCAACUGUCGCAUGGUGGUUGGUGGAAAGCUUUUGCGGUGUGGGAUGGGCCCGCGGCCCAUCAGCUAGUUGGUAGGGUAAUGGCCUACCAAGGCUUAGACGGGUAGCUGGUCUGAGAGGAUGAUCAGCCACACUGGAACUGAGACACGGUCCAGACUCCUACGGGAGGCAGCAGUGGGGAAUCUUGCGCAAUGGGCGAAAGCCUGACGCAGCGACGCCGCGUGAGUGAUGAAGGCCUUCGGGUUGUAAAGCUCUGUGGGGAGAGACGAAUAAGUCAUGGCGAAUAGCCCUGAUGAUGACGGUAUCUCCUUAGCAAGCACCGGCUAACUCUGUGCCAGCAGCCGCGGUAAUACAGAGGGUGCAAACGUUGUUCGGAAUUACUGGGCGUAAAGCGUGUGURGGCGGCUUCGUA
This 589-nucleotide ribosomal RNA is filed under the name uncultured bacterium. Its description in RNAcentral is "bacterial SSU rRNA". It matches the Rfam family "Bacterial small subunit ribosomal RNA", at positions 1 to 585 of the family's 1533-position model. The record is from RNAcentral.